CAGCAGCCGCGGUAAUACGUAGGGCGCAAACGUUGUUCGGAUUAACUGGGUAUAAAGGGUUCGUAGGCGGGCUGUUAAGUCAGAGGUGAAAGCCACCGGCUCAACCGGUGAAUUGCCUCUGAUACUGGCAGUCUUGAGUCCGUUAGGGGGUGGUGGAAUUCCUGGUGUAGCGGUGAAAUGCGUAAAUAUCAGGAGGAACACCAGUGGCGAAGGCGGCCACCUGGGACGGUACUGACGCUGAGGAACGAAAGCAUGGGUAUCAAACGGGAUUAGAUACCCCGGUAGUCCAUGCCGUAAACGAUGGGCACUAGGUGUCGGAGGAGCUUACCCCUUCGGUGCCGCAGCUAACGCAUUAAGUGCCCCACCUGGGGAGUACGAUCGCAAGGUGAAAACUCAAAGGAAUUGACGGGGGCCCGCACAAGCGGUGGAGCAUGUGGUUUAAUUCGAUGCAACGCGAAGAACCUUACCUGGACUUGACAUGUAGGAGACAGCCGUAGAAAUACGGUUUCCUUCGGGUUCCUACACGGGUGCUGCAUGGCUGUCGUCAGCUCGUGUCGUGAAAUGUUGGGUUAAGUCCCGCAACGAGCGCAACCCUUGUCCUUAGUUGCCAUCAGAUUAUGCUGGGAACUCUAAGGAGACUGCCGGUGACAAACCGGAGGAAGGUGGGGACGACGUCAAGUCAUCAUGGCCCUUACGUCCAGGGCUACACACGUGCUACAAUGGCCGGUACAAAGAGCAGCGAGGCGGCGACGCCAAGCGAAUCUCAAAAAGCCGGUCUCAGUUCGGAUAGUAGUCUGCAACUCGACUACUUGAAGCUGGAAUCGCUAGUAAUCGCGUAUCAGCAUGACGCGGUGAAUACGUUCCCGGGCCUUGUACACACCGCCCGUCAAGUCACCCGAGUUGGCCGCACCCCAAGUCGCUGAGCUAACCUCUUCGGAGGAGGCAGGUGCCCAAGGUGUAGUUGGUAAGGGGGACUAAGUCGUAACAAGGUAACCGUA
RNAcentral lists this ribosomal RNA (998 nucleotides) under uncultured bacterium. RNAcentral's name for it is "bacterial SSU rRNA". It matches the Rfam family "Bacterial small subunit ribosomal RNA", at positions 509 to 1504 of the family's 1533-position model. The record is from RNAcentral.